AUUGAACGCUGGCGGCAGGCCUAACACAUGCAAGUCGAGCGGAUGAAGGGAGCUUGCUCCUGGAUUCAGCGGCGGACGGGUGAGUAAUGCCUAGGAAUCUGCCUGGUAGUGGGGGAUAACGUCCGGAAACGGGCGCUAAUACCGCAUACGUCCUGAGGGAGAAAGUGGGGGAUCUUCGGACCUCACGCUAUCAGAUGAGCCUAGGUCGGAUUAGCUAGUUGGUGGGGUAAAGGCCUACCAAGGCGACGAUCCGUAACUGGUCUGAGAGGAUGAUCAGUCACACUGGAACUGAGACACGGUCCAGACUCCUACGGGAGGCAGCAGUGGGGAAUAUUGGACAAUGGGCGAAAGCCUGAUCCAGCCAUGCCGCGUGUGUGAAGAAGGUCUUCGGAUUGUAAAGCACUUUAAGUUGGGAGGAAGGGCAGUAAGUUAAUACCUUGCUGUUUUGACGUUACCAACAGAAUAAGCACCGGCUAACUUCGUGCCAGCAGCCGCGGUAAUACGAAGGGUGCAAGCGUUAAUCGGAAUUACUGGGCGUAAAGCGCGCGUAGGUGGUUCAGCAAGUUGGAUGUGAAAUCCCCGGGCUCAACCUGGGAACUGCAUCCAAAACUACUGAGCUAGAGUACGGUAGAGGGUGGUGGAAUUUCCUGUGUAGCGGUGAAAUGCGUAGAUAUAGGAAGGAACACCAGUGGCGAAGGCGACCACCUGGACUGUUACUGACACUGAGGUGCGAAAGCGUGGGGAGCAAACAGGAUUAGAUACCCUGGUAGUCCACGCCGUAAACGAUGUCGACUAGCCGUUGGGAUCCUUGAGAUCUUAGUGGCGCAGCUAACGCGAUAAGUCGACCGCCUGGGGAGUACGGCCGCAAGGUUA
Molecule: ribosomal RNA, 873 nt
Filed under: uncultured Pseudomonadales bacterium
Lineage: Bacteria; Pseudomonadati; Pseudomonadota; Gammaproteobacteria; Pseudomonadales
Description: bacterial SSU rRNA
Rfam family: Bacterial small subunit ribosomal RNA
Source: RNAcentral